AAAUGGCAAAAAUAUAAUUGGCAUAAAACAGAUGACUAAAAAUGAAUGAAGUUGAAGAAAGUUGAAAGACACCCCUGAAGAACCUGAAUUAUUUUAGCCCUAUCCUAGAUUCAUUAAUUAAUAUAUUUUAGUGCGUGAUAACAUGUGUGAAAUGUGAUCAAUUAUGUUACAAUUUUCAAAACUUGGAUUUAUAAAGAGAAAUUAUUCUUUGUAAAGUUUAAGAAAUAAACCUUUUUUGUGUG
This is a long non-coding RNA of Dendronephthya gigantea, 242 nucleotides long. RefSeq lists it as uncharacterized. NCBI's taxonomy places the organism in Eukaryota, Metazoa, Cnidaria, Anthozoa, Malacalcyonacea, Nephtheidae. The transcript has 2 exons. The record is from RefSeq and is a predicted model, not a curated record.